GGGAGUGUGGUCGCAGACGCAAUGGCCUUCCCCACAAUAAGUUAGUAGUGAGUACGGAUCACGCGAUGACGUUUAAGCAAUGACAUUCAGCUUUGUACGCCACUGUUGUGUGCAAGUCGGCUCAAGUCGCUCCACUCCGAGUGUAACAGUUGGUGUCACAACUUGAAAUCGGAGCUCUUUCCUUUUCAGUUGGAUCAGAACGCCUUACCGUCGUUCGACAGCCGGCCAAGUUUGGACACCUUGCGCUGGACUGCAGUUUCACGUUCGUUUCGGGCUCAAGAAUGGGCCAUAUCCGUUUGCUUCUAUCGUUUGCGGAAGCUGACAACCCGCCGUCUACCUCGUUCGUUCAACGUUAAUCGCCGUGCCCUGGUCGCCAGUAUGCCUGCCCGUCGUGUAGGUUGUAUGCGUGCUCGUGUUGCAGCAGCCUCCACGGCAGGAGUGCANN
This 445-nucleotide long non-coding RNA is filed under the name Volvox carteri. RNAcentral describes it as "long non-coding RNA (VCAR_LNC002552)". Lineage: Eukaryota; Viridiplantae; Chlorophyta; Chlorophyceae; Chlamydomonadales; Volvocaceae. The record is from RNAcentral.